Polypterus senegalus (gray bichir) is the source of this 1301-nucleotide long non-coding RNA. RefSeq lists it as uncharacterized. Lineage: Eukaryota; Metazoa; Chordata; Cladistia; Polypteriformes; Polypteridae. The transcript has 2 exons. The record is from RefSeq and is a predicted model, not a curated record.
AUUUGGUGGCGUCAUAGUAGAGUGGGAGCUUCGUUCGUUAAAUGUGAAAGUUUCAUAAUAAUUUACAUAUAUACAGUGUGCCCCGUGCUCCUCUGCUGCAAAAGUCCAUUAGUCUAGGGUGUGACCACUGGUCGGCCUGCUUAAAACACCAAGACUCGGAUUGUCUCACAGAGCUGAGAUAACUGAAGCAGAUGGCGUUGCCUCUGAGCUUAAACAUGUGAGGAGCAGCUGGCAUUGAGAAAUGUCUUGGGAAGUGAAUGAGGCAGACGUGAGGGGAGGACGUCGAAUCACAUGGAAGGGGCGGUUGGCACCAGCGUUGUACCUAGAAGAUGGCAUGUACCCCACGAUGAAUACCUAAACCAUCACCCUUCAUACCUCAACCCCGACUGUUGUGAUUCCCAUCCAUAUUGUGACGCGUGAGGCGCUGCCUUGCACCCAAAAGACGAGGCUGAGUCUGAGCACUUCUGGAAAACCAACUUUCUUCAAAUUUGAACAGGAACAGCGAGGUUAUCUAUUGCAGCGGGCGGGAGCUACCACUCUACUACACGCAGACGCAGGGCAGUGUCGGGGCGACCAGGGCAGUGGCCAAGUUCUACAUUUCCCCGCAUCACCCAUCGCACGACAGACGCGCACGGAGGCGGUGAGCUUGCAGUUGCCUCUGUGACGCUGCGGACCCGCGGUUGCCUAGGCGACGGACGCGUCAAUCCCCGUCGCCCCGUUGGGGGGGUCUCAAAAGAUUUAAAAAAUCCCUCCUAUUAUGGCUGCAUUCAAUCUUCCUCCAAAAGAAAAGUUUCAUAUUAUAAAAUUAAACCCAAAAUGCUUCAGCUUCUUAUAAGCUCAUCAUGUCUACCUGCUCAAAAAGGGCAGAACAACAAUGUAGGCUGCAUUACCGCCACCUACUGGGCUGGAAUGUGAAGCAGAGGAAUGUUAAGGAGAAAAAAAACAUAAAAAUAAAAAACCCAGUGCUUUUCAAAAGCUGAAACAGACAAGACGAUCCUAAUAUACAUGGUGACUCAUUCCUGCCCCACUUUUCUUUGAUUAUCAUAUACACGAUAUUCAUUCAAGAUAUGUGUCACUGUUUUAGGAUGACUACAUUUUUCUGCAAAUGCACGUGUCUCAGGGAUUAACAAAAUACUUCAUCCUCCUCCUCAUCAUCAUAAUCAAGCACAUUCGCUCUAAACAAGGAAUAAUUCAGGCCGGUGCGUGCAAGUCAUAAUCAUGUCGUCAUUACUUCCUACCUUUUAUUAUUUCUUUCUGUUGUAUUCUUUGCCACCGCCUUCUCAAUCUCACAUAAAAAAAAA